RNAcentral lists this small RNA (451 nucleotides) under Pan troglodytes (chimpanzee). RNAcentral describes it as "retained intron". The record is from RNAcentral. Lineage: Eukaryota; Metazoa; Chordata; Mammalia; Primates; Hominidae.
UUUGAAAAAGAAUGAAGGACUUUGGCCCCUCAUAUUGAUCAUUCAUUUUGUUUUUAAGUGCUCUCCACCUGCCUGAAGCAAGAACAGCUCUUUUAGAGGCAGGUUGAUCUGUUCCAGCUGCAGGUGAACACCCUACGACGUUAUAAACGACACUACAAGUUGCAGACCAGACCAGGCUUCAAUAAGGCCCAGUUAGCAGAAACUGUGAGUCGACACUUCAGGAACAUACCUGUGAAUGAAAAAGAGACCCUUGCCUACUUCAUCUACAUGGUGAAGAGUAACAAGAGUAGACUGGACCAGAAAUCGGAGGGUGGCAAGCAGCUUGAGUGAGGAUGAAGCACAUCUUAAAGGAAUGAAGUGUAAUGCUUGAUGCACAGGUGAUAUCUGCUACAUUUAAGCCCAUAAAGACUGUUAAAUAUUAUUGUAAAUAAAAAAGUUUGAAUGAUGAAUA